UUACCGAGUGAGGGCCCUUUGGGUCCAACCUCCCACCCGUGUUUAUUUACCUCGUUGCUUCGGCGGGCCCGCCUUAACUGGCCGCCGGGGGGCUCACGCCCCCGGGCCCGCGCCCGCCGAAGACACCCCCGAACUCUGCCUGAAGAUUGUCGUCUGAGUGAAAAUAUAAAUUAUUUAAAACUUUCAACAACGGAUCUCUUGGUUCCGGCAUCGAUGAAGAACGCAGCGAAAUGCGAUACGUAAUGUGAAUUGCAAAUUCAGUGAAUCAUCGAGUCUUUGAACGCACAUUGCGCCCCCUGGUAUUCCGGGGGGCAUGCCUGUCCGAGCGUCAUUGCUGCCCUCAAGCCCGGCUUGUGUGUUGGGCCCCGUCCUCCGAUUCCGGGGGACGGGCCCGAAAGGCAGCGGCGGCACCGCGUCCGGUCCUCGAGCGUAUGGGGCUUUGUCACCCGCUCUGUAGGCCCGGCCGGCGCUUGCCGAUCAACCCAAAUUUUUAUCCAGGUUGACCU
RNAcentral lists this ribosomal RNA (506 nucleotides) under Penicillium expansum. Its description in RNAcentral is "eukaryotic LSU rRNA". The stretch from base 179 to 331 matches the Rfam family "5.8S ribosomal RNA". The record is from RNAcentral. Lineage: Eukaryota; Fungi; Ascomycota; Eurotiomycetes; Eurotiales; Aspergillaceae.